This 508-nucleotide ribosomal RNA is filed under the name Parachauliodes japonicus. RNAcentral describes it as "partial large subunit ribosomal RNA". The stretch from base 387 to 508 matches the Rfam family "Bacterial large subunit ribosomal RNA", at positions 2473 to 2594 of the family's 2925-position model. The record is from RNAcentral. Lineage: Eukaryota; Metazoa; Arthropoda; Insecta; Megaloptera; Corydalidae.
GUCUUUUUGAUUAUAAUUUAAAGUCUAACCUGCCCACUGAAUUUUUUGAAGGGCCGCGGUAUUUUGACUGUGCAAAGGUAGCAUAAUCAUUAGUCUUUUAAUUGGAGGCUUGUAUGAAUGGUUGGAUGAGGUAUUAACUGUCUCAAUUUAAUAAAUAAUAGAAUUUUAUUUUUAAGUUAAAAAGCUUAAAUUUAAUUAAAAGACGAGAAGACCCUAUAGAUCUUUAUAAUUAAUUUUAUAAUAAUUUUUUAGGUAAAAUUUAUUUUUAUAUAAUAAAUUAUUUUAUUGGGGUGAUAAAAAAAUUUGUAAAACUUUUUUUGUGUAUAAACAGUGAUAUUUGAUUAAUUGAUCCAUUUUUUGUGAUUAUAAGAUUAAGUUACCUUAGGGAUAACAGCGUAAUUUUUUUGGAGAGUUCUUAUCGAUAAAAAAGAUUGCGACCUCGAUGUUGAAUUAAAGGUUAAUUUUAGGUGUAGAAGUUUAAAAUUUUGGUCUGUUCGACCAUUAAAUC